Molecule: ribosomal RNA, 1346 nt
Filed under: uncultured Campylobacterota bacterium
Lineage: Bacteria; Pseudomonadati; Campylobacterota
Description: bacterial SSU rRNA
Rfam family: Bacterial small subunit ribosomal RNA
Source: RNAcentral
AGUCGAACGAUGAAGCCCUGCUUGCAGGGUGGAUUAGUGGCGCACGGGUGAGUAAAGAAUAGAUUACAUGCCUCAUAGACCGGGACAACAGUUGGAAACGACUGCUAAUACUGGAUAUUCCCUACGGGGGAAAGCUUUUGCGCUAUGAGAUUGGUCUAUUUCCCAUCAGCUAGUUGGUAAGGUAAUGGCUUACCAAGGCUAUGACGGGUAGCUGGUCUUAGAGGACGAUCAGCCACACUGGAACUGAGACACGGUCCAGACUCCUACGGGAGGCAGCAGUGGGGAAUAUUGCACAAUGGAGGAAACUCUGAUGCAGCAACGCCGCGUGGAGGAUGACGCAUUUCGGUGUGUAAACUCCUUUUAUAUGGGAAGAUAAUGACGGUACCAUAUGAAUAAGCACCGGCUAACUCCGUGCCAGCAGCCGCGGUAAUACGGAGGGUGCAAGCGUUACUCGGAAUCACUGGGCGUAAAGCGCGCGCAGGCGGUCUUUUAAGUUGGAUGUGAAAGCCUAUGGCUCAACCAUAGAACUGCAUCCAAAACUAUUAGACUAGAGUCUGGGAGGGGAAGAUGGAAUUAGUUGUGUAGGGGUAAAAUCCGUAGAGAUAACUAGGAAUACCAAAAGCGAAGGCGAUCUUCUGGAACAGUACUGACGCUGAGGCGCGAAAGCGUGGGGAGCAAACAGGAUUAGAUACCCUGGUAGUCCACGCCCUAAACGAUGAAUGUUAGUCGUCGGAGGCCUAGUGUCUUCGGUGAUGCAGCUAACGCAUUAAACAUUCCGCCUGGGGAGUACGGUCGCAAGAUUAAAACUCAAAGGAAUAGACGGGGACCCGCACAAGUGGUGGAGCAUGUGGUUUAAUUCGAAGAUACGCGAAGAACCUUACCUAGCCUUGACAUAUUUGAGAACACUUUAGAGAUAGAGUGGUGCCUUCGGGAGCUCAUAUACAGGUGCUGCACGGCUGUCGUCAGCUCGUGUCGUGAGAUGUUGGGUUAAGUCCCGCAACGAGCGCAACCCUCGUCACUAGUUACUAGCGGUUCGGCCGAGGACUCUAGUGAGACUGCCUUCGCAAGGAGGAGGAAGGUGAGGACGACGUCAAGUCAUCAUGGCCCUUACGGCUAGGGCAACACACGUGCUACAAUGGGCAGGACAAUGAGACGCGAUACCGCGAGGUGGAGCAAAUCUAUAAACCUGUUCUCAGUUCGGAUUGUAGUCUGCAACUCGACUACAUGAAGCUGGAAUCACUAGUAAUCGUAGAUCAGCUAUGCUACGGUGAAUACGUUCCCGGGUCUUGUACUCACCGCCCGUCACACCAUGGGAGUUGAUUUCACCCGAAGCGGGGAAGCUAAAC